Molecule: ribosomal RNA, 433 nt
Filed under: uncultured bacterium
Lineage: Bacteria
Description: partial 16S ribosomal RNA
Rfam family: Bacterial small subunit ribosomal RNA
Source: RNAcentral
AGCGAACGCUGGCGGCAGGCUUAACACAUGCAAGUCGAGCGGGCCCUUCGGGGUCAGCGGCAGACGGGUGAGUAACACGUGGGAACGUACCCUUUGGUUCGGAAUAACGCUGGGAAACUAGCGCUAAUACCGGAUACGCCCUUUUGGGGAAAGGCUUGCUGCCGAAGGAUCGGCCCGCGUCUGAUUAGCUUGUUGGUUGGGUAAUGGCCUACCAAGGCGACGAUCAGUAGCUGGUCUGAGAGGAUGAUCAGCCACACUGGGACUGAGACACGGCACAGACUCCUACGGGAAGCAGCAGUGGGGAAUAUUGGACAAUGGGCGCAAGCCUGAUCCAGCCAUGCCGCGUGAGUGAUGAAGGCAUUAGGGUAGUAAAGCUCUUUUGUCCGGGACGAUAAUGACGGUACCGGAAGAAUAAGCCCCGGCUAACUUCGUG